This 270-nucleotide ribosomal RNA is filed under the name uncultured bacterium. RNAcentral describes it as "partial 16S ribosomal RNA". It matches the Rfam family "Bacterial small subunit ribosomal RNA", at positions 524 to 795 of the family's 1533-position model. The record is from RNAcentral.
UACGUAGGGCGCAAGCGUUGUCCGGAAUUAUUGGGCGUAAAGAGCUCGUAGGCGGUUUGUCGCGUCUGCUGUGAAAGCCCGGGGCUCAACCCGGGUCUGCAGUGGGUACGGGCAGGACUAGAGUGCAGUAGGGGAGACUGGAAUUCCGUGGUGUAGGCGGUGAAAUGCGCAGAUAAUCAGGAGGAACACCGAUGGCGAAGGCAGGAUCUCUGGCUGUUACUGACGCUGAGAGCGAAAGCAUGGGAGCGAACAGGAUUAGAUACCGUAGUC